CACGAACGCUGGCGGCGUGCCUAAUACAUGCAAGUAGAACGCAGAGGUCAGGUGCUUGCACUGGACUGAUGAGUUGCGAACGGGUGAGUAACGCGUAGGUAACCUACCUGAUAGCGGGGGAUAACUAUUGGAAACGAUAGCUAAUACCGCAUAAAAGCCAAUGACCCAUGUCAUUGGCUUGAAAGAAGCAAACGCUUCACUAUGAGAUGGACCUGCGUUGUAUUAGCUAGUUGGUAGGGUAAAGGCCUACCAAGGCGACGAUACAUAGCCGACCUGAGAGGGUGAACGGCCACACUGGGACUGAGACACGGCCCAGACUCCUACGGGAGGCAGCAGUAGGGAAUCUUCGGCAAUGGGGGGAACCCUGACCGAGCAACGCCGCGUGAGUGAAGAAGGUUUUCGGAUCGUAAAGCUCUGUUGUUAGAGAAGAACAGUGAUGGGAGUGGAAAGUCCAUCAUUUGACGGUAACUAACCAGAAAGGGACGGCUAACUACGUGCCAGCAGCCGCGGUAA
This 513-nucleotide ribosomal RNA is filed under the name Streptococcus equi subsp. zooepidemicus. RNAcentral describes it as "bacterial SSU rRNA". It matches the Rfam family "Bacterial small subunit ribosomal RNA", at positions 29 to 523 of the family's 1533-position model. Lineage: Bacteria; Bacillati; Bacillota; Bacilli; Lactobacillales; Streptococcaceae. The record is from RNAcentral.